GUAGUCAUAUGCUUGUCUAAAAGAUUAAGCCAUGCAUGUCUAAGUAUAAACGAAUUUAUACAGUGAAACUGCGAAAGGCUCAUUAAAUCAGUUAUAGUUUAUUUGAUAGUACCUACUACUUGGAUAACCGUAGUAAUUCUAGAGCUAAUACAUGCUAAAAGUCCCGACUUUGCGGAAGGGAUGUAUUUAUUAGAUAAAAAACCAAUGCUAGGGGGCAACUCCUAGGUCACUGGAUGAUUCAUGAUAACUUUGCGAACCGCAUGUCCUCGCGACGGCGGUGAUUCAUUCAAAUUUCUGCCCUAUCAACUUUCGAUGGUAGUGUAGUGGACUACCAUGGUUGCAACGGGUAACGGGGAAU
RNAcentral lists this ribosomal RNA (358 nucleotides) under uncultured fungus. RNAcentral's name for it is "SSU rRNA". It matches the Rfam family "Eukaryotic small subunit ribosomal RNA", at positions 20 to 370 of the family's 1831-position model. The record is from RNAcentral. Lineage: Eukaryota; Fungi.